AUUGAACGCUGGCGGCAGGCCUAACACAUGCAAGUCGAACGAGUGGCGGACGGGUGAGUAAUGUCUGGGAAAGUGCCUGAUGGAGGGGGAUAACUAAUGGAAACGGUAGCUAAUACCGCAUACCAUCAGAGGUGCCCAGAUGGGAUUAGCUAGUUGGUGGGGUAACGGCUCACCAAGGCGACGAUGCCUAGCUGGUCUGAGAGGAUGACAAGCCACACUGGAACUGAGACACGGUCCAGACCCCUACGGGAGGCAGCAGUGGGGAAUAUUGCACAAGGGGCGCAAUCCUGAUGCAGCCAUGCCGCGUGUAUGAAGAAGGCCUUCGGGUUGUAAAGUACUUUCGGCAGCGCGGCGUUACCCGCAGAAGAAGCACCGGCUACCUCCGUGCCAGCAGCCGCGGUAAUUC
This 406-nucleotide ribosomal RNA is filed under the name uncultured bacterium. RNAcentral describes it as "partial 16S ribosomal RNA". It matches the Rfam family "Bacterial small subunit ribosomal RNA", at positions 30 to 526 of the family's 1533-position model. The record is from RNAcentral.